This 508-nucleotide ribosomal RNA is filed under the name Leptospirillum sp. enrichment culture DGGE gel band B16. Its description in RNAcentral is "bacterial SSU rRNA". It matches the Rfam family "Bacterial small subunit ribosomal RNA", at positions 966 to 1469 of the family's 1533-position model. Lineage: Bacteria; Pseudomonadati; Nitrospirota; Nitrospiria; Nitrospirales; Nitrospiraceae. The record is from RNAcentral.
ACUUAGCGGGCUUGACAUGCCGCGAGUAGGAAACCGAAAGGGGACCGACCGGUUCAGUCCGGAAGCGGAACAGGUGCUGCAUGGCUGUCGUCAGCUCGUGCCGUGAGGUGUUGGGUUCAGUCCCGCAACGAGCGCAACCCUCGCCCUCUGUUGCCACCGGGUCAUGCCGGGCACUCUGAGGGGACUGCCAGCGACAAGUUGGAGGAAGGAGAGGAUGACGUCAAGUCAUCAUGGCCCUUAUGCCCAGGGCCACACACGUGCAACAAUGGCCGGUACAGACGGAAGCAAGACCGAGAGGUGGAGCAAAUCCGAGAAAGCCGGUCCCAGUUCGGAUUGAGGUCUGCAACUCGAGCUCAUGAAGUCGGAAUCGCUAGGGGAUGGCGUAUCAGCACGACGCGGUGAAUACGUUCCCGGGCCUUGUACACACCGCCCGUCACACCACGAAAGUCUGUUGUACCUGAAGUCGGUGCCCCAACCGGAAACGGAGGGAGCCGCCCAAGGUAUGGCC